UCCGAGUUGUCCCCGGCAGUCCUCUUAGAGUCCCCGGCAUUACCCGCUGGCAACUAAGAGCAGGGGUUGCGCUCGUUGCGGCACUUAAGCCAACACCUCACGGCACGAGCUGACGACAGCCAUGCAGCACCUGUGCUAGCCCCUUACGGACACGGGCUUUCACCCGCUUUAACUAGCAUGUCAAACCCAGGUAAGGUGGGGAUGACGUCAAGGUACGGAC
Molecule: unclassified non-coding RNA, 220 nt
Filed under: uncultured Actinomycetes bacterium
Lineage: Bacteria; Bacillati; Actinomycetota; Actinomycetes
Description: uncultured actinobacterium contains 16S-23S intergenic spacer region
Source: RNAcentral